CUCCAGUCUGGGCAACAGAGCGAGACUCCAUCUGAAAAACGUAAAAAUAAUAGUAUCUACCUCAUAGGGGUGCUGUGAGGAUUUAAUGAGAUACCAUAUUUUAAGGCACAUAGCAGUGCCUGGCGAGUAGGGCUAAGUCAGCGUUGGCUGCUGUUAUUUUCUCUGGAGGAUAAUAUUUGCCAGGGAGAGCAGUGGAAUCAGGCAGAACUGGACUGCAAUCCUGUUUUCCCCACACAUUAACAACUGUAUUCUUUUGGGCAAAACAAUCUCUCAGCAUCAGCUUCGUGGGUAAAGACAAAUUACUUCAUAAGAAUAAACUCAGGCCAGCCAAAGUGCCUGGGUGACAGAGCGAGACCCUGUCUCAAAACAAAACAAAACAAACAAACAAAAAAGAAGAAAUUCAGGCCGAGCGCAUUGGCUCAUACCUGUAGUCCCAGUACUUUGAGGAGCUGAGGCGGGGGAUCGCUUGAGCCCAG
RNAcentral lists this long non-coding RNA (476 nucleotides) under Homo sapiens (human). RNAcentral describes it as "non-protein coding lnc-ATP2A2-6:1". The record is from RNAcentral. Lineage: Eukaryota; Metazoa; Chordata; Mammalia; Primates; Hominidae.